CAAUCAUAGAUAGUCCAAACUACACCUUUUUGUAAUCCUUAUCAUCAGACAAAUAUUGUGGGAUAUUUUUCAAUGAGAUUAGAGCAU
Molecule: long non-coding RNA, 87 nt
Organism: Thalassophryne amazonica
Lineage: Eukaryota; Metazoa; Chordata; Actinopteri; Batrachoidiformes; Batrachoididae
Exons: 3
Source: RefSeq, a predicted model, not a curated record